GUGUCAGCAGCCGCGGUAAUACGUAGGGUGCGAGCGUUAAUCGGAAUUACUGGGCGUAAAGCGUGCGCAGGCGGUUCUCCAAGUCCGUUGUGAAAGCCCCGGGCUCAACCUGGGAAUGGCAGUGGAAACUAGGGGACUGGAAUCUGGCAGAGGGGGGUGGAAUGCCGCGUGUAGCAGUGAAAUGCGUAGAGAUGCGGCGGAACACCGAUGGCGAAGGCAGCCCCCUGGGCUGAGAUUGACGCUCAGGCACGAAAGCGUGGGGAGCAAACAGGAUUAGAAACCCCUGUAGUCC
RNAcentral lists this ribosomal RNA (292 nucleotides) under uncultured bacterium. RNAcentral describes it as "partial 16S ribosomal RNA". It matches the Rfam family "Bacterial small subunit ribosomal RNA", at positions 505 to 796 of the family's 1533-position model. The record is from RNAcentral.